This is a long non-coding RNA of Salvia miltiorrhiza (redroot sage), 2137 nucleotides long. RefSeq lists it as uncharacterized. The transcript is spliced from 3 exons. The record is from RefSeq and is a predicted model, not a curated record. Lineage: Eukaryota; Viridiplantae; Streptophyta; Magnoliopsida; Lamiales; Lamiaceae.
UAUUAUUAUUAUUAUUAUUAUUAUUAGUAUUAUUAAUGAUUCCUAUCAGAAUUAGAACUCCUUUUAUCAUCUUUAUUCUUUAUCUUAGUAGGAGAUAUACAUAGAAAAUAUUUUUUUUUUAUAUUUAUCAAAAGCUCUUUAGAAACUAGUAUAAUUAUGGGAUCUAUUUUCAAACCCUAAAGGAGACGGACACACUAAUUAAUUAGGGUUUUAGAGAGCAGAGAGGGCCAGAAACGUGUAGAGUCAGAUUUUCGCAGGAAAUCAAGUUCUGGCAGUUUCGGGAGAACGGCCAUAACUUCCUCCACAUAACUCCGAUUCAAGCGAAACAGGUGGCCACGGAAAGCUCUCUCGAAGAGGAAGAAGUCGUAUUUCUGGGAAAAAUACGAUUUGAGGACGUUUGAGGCUUCAAACGAAGGCUUGAAGCUGACUGGUCUGUUCAGCUGCGAUUUUGACGAUUUCUUCGGGUGCGGCGCUAUUAAGACCUUCUUUCCGGUUUUGUUUUGUUUCGACAUUAAGUUUUAGAGUCGAGGUGGCCAUGGAAGUCGAGAAUGACUAGAGAUUUAGUAUUUCCAUAGAAAUUUAAGUUGAAACAUGUUACUUUUUAGUUUAUCAUUUUAUUUCAUGUUACUACUUUAGUUUUGACAAGUUGAUUUUAAAUUGGUUUAAACUUUUAUAAUUCAAGAAAUUUUAUUUUUUAUAUAUUAGUUUUCAAAGAUUUUAUAUUGAAAAGUUUAUGAAAAUUGGGGUGUUACAUAGUGGUAUCAGAGCGGGUCUACGUUCCUGUAGACUCGUGCUUUAAAAAAAAUUGUUUUGUUUUUAAAAAGGUUUAAGUAAGCUUAAAGGGUUAAAUAAGCCUAGUCAUUCGAAACUCAUGUGCUGCAUCGACUCCAAGGUAUGUGUUUUAAUUGUUUAAGUAUAUGGCCGUUAUGAUGUUUUACAUGACUUUUUUUUUUAUGAUGCUUUUAUGUUCUAGUACUAUUAUGUUUAGCUUCGUUAGAAAUAGUUGAAAUUGUGAAAUCGUUAGAUGGCACGGACACGUCAAACUCCCACUAGAGCUCAAGUCACCCUACAAGCACGAAUUGAGAAAUUGCGCGAAGAAUAUGAAAGAUUAAGUGAACGUUGUGAAUUCUUGCGUGUACAAUGCGAGAGAUACGAAAGGAUUAGGAGGCUGCAAUCGGUGUACGACUGCUAUACAUGGAGUAGCGACUACGGGUUCGUGGAACACGUGCGAAGGAUGAAGUUACCUCACAAUAGAACUAGAUUAUAUGGCUCAAGAAUCGUGACUAGAAUUUCGAGGACGAAAUUAUUUUAAGUGGGGUAGGUUGUAACACCCCGAUAAUUUAGAUUUAUUUUAUAAGUUUAAUUAAUAGUAUUUUCUUGUAUAGCUUAUUUUUUUAAAUAAUUACAUGAUACAUAUAGAUAUGCACCGUUAAUUUUAUCUAGACUAUUAUUAUUAUUAUUAUUAUUAUUAUUAUUAGUAGUAGUAUUAUUAAUGAUUCCUAUUAGAAUUAGAACUCCUUUUAUCAUCUUUAUUCUUUAUCUUAGUAGGAGAUAUACAUAGAAAAUAUUUUUUUUUUAUAUUUAUCAAAAGCUCUUUAGAAACUAGUAUAAUUAUGGGAUCUAUUUUCAAACCCUAAAGGAGACGGACACACUAAUUAAUUAGGGUUUUAGAGAGCAGGGCCAGAAACGUGUAGAGUCAGAUUUUCGCAGGAAAUCAAGUUCUGGCAGUUUCGGGAGAACGGCCAUAACUUCCUCCACAUAACUCCGAUUCAAGCGAAACAGGUGGCCACGGAAAGCUCUCUCGAAGAGGAAGAAGUCGUAUUUCUGGGCAAAAUACGAUUUGAGGACGUUUGAGGCUUCAAACGAAGGCUUGAAGCUGACUGGUCUGUUCAGCUGCGAUUUUGACGAUUUCUUCGGGUGCGGCGCUAUUAAGACUUUCUUUCCGGUUUUGUUUUGUUUCGACAUUAAGUUUUAGAGUCGAGGUGGCCAUGGAAGUCGAGAAUGACUAGAGAUUUAGUAUUUCCAUAGAAAUUUAAGUUGAAACAUGUUACUUUUUAGUUUAUCAUUUUAUUUCAUGUUACUACUUUAGUUUUGACAAGUUGAUUUUAAAUUGGUUUAAACUUUUAUAAUUCAAGAA